This is a long non-coding RNA of Acanthochromis polyacanthus (spiny chromis), 104 nucleotides long. RefSeq lists it as uncharacterized. The record is from RefSeq and is a predicted model, not a curated record. The transcript is spliced from 3 exons. NCBI's taxonomy places the organism in Eukaryota, Metazoa, Chordata, Actinopteri, Pomacentridae.
CAUGUCCCAGGUAGACUCACAUGUCCCAGGUAGACCCACAUGUCCCACAUGUCCCAGGUAGACCCACAUGUCCCAGGUAGACCCACAUGUCCCACAUGUCCCAG